CAAGUGAGCAAAUGAAAGUUACAAACUUGAGAUAUAAAUGCUUAUACAUGUACAGUAAUAUGUCUGCAGUCGAAAUAUUCCCUUAAAGGAGAGGGUUGCUAACUUGCUAUAAUAUGUUUUUUGUUUAAAAAUGGACAACUAAUGAAAUGGAGUGGGCUCAUUCGGCAAUCCUUGAAAUGGAGUUGACA
Strongylocentrotus purpuratus (purple sea urchin) is the source of this 188-nucleotide long non-coding RNA. RefSeq lists it as uncharacterized. The transcript is spliced from 2 exons. The record is from RefSeq and is a predicted model, not a curated record. NCBI's taxonomy places the organism in Eukaryota, Metazoa, Echinodermata, Echinoidea, Camarodonta, Strongylocentrotidae.